RNAcentral lists this ribosomal RNA (448 nucleotides) under uncultured bacterium. RNAcentral describes it as "bacterial SSU rRNA". It matches the Rfam family "Bacterial small subunit ribosomal RNA", at positions 330 to 793 of the family's 1533-position model. The record is from RNAcentral.
CACAGACUCCUACGGGAGGCAGCAGUGGGGAAUAUUGCACAAUGGGGGAAACCCUGACCCAGCGACGCCGCGUGAGGGAAGAAGGUUUUCGGAUUGUAAACCUCUGUCCUUGGUGACGAUAAUGACGGUAGCCAAGGAGGAAGCCACGGCUAACUACGUGCCAGCAGCCGCGGUAAUACGUAGGUGGCGAGCGUUGUCCGGAAUUACUGGGUGUAAAGGGAGCGUAGGUGGCAUAGUAAGUAGCUAGUGAAAUCUGGUGGCUCAACCAUUCAGACUAUUAGCUAAACUGCUAAGCUCGAGACCGUUAGGGGUAACUGGAAUUUCUAGUGUAGGAGUGAAAUCCGUAGAUAUUAGAAGGAACACCGAUAGCGCAGGCAGGUUACUGGGACGGUUCUGACACUAAGGCACGAAAGCGUAGGGAGCAAACGGGAUUAGAUACCCGAGUACG